CAAAAACAUGUCUUCUUGACUAUGUAUAGGAAGUCUGACCUGCCCAGUGAUUAAAUUUUAACGGCCGCGGUAUAUUGACCGUGCAAAGGUAGCAUAAUCAUUAGUCUUUUAAAAGAGGGCUGGAAUGAAAGGUUUGACGAAGUAUUAACUGUCUCAUUUUAUUUGAUUUAGAAUUUAAUUUUUUAGUCAAAAAGCUGAAAUUCAAUUGGAAGACGAGAAGACCCUAUAGAGCUUUAUAUUUAUUUAUUUAAUUUUAUUUAUAUUAUUUGAAUUUAUAUAUAAUAAUAUUAUGUUGGGGUGACAAAAAUAUAUAAGUAACUUUUUUAUUUAUUUUACAUUAAUUUAUGAUUAAUAGAUCCAUUAUUAUUGAUUAUUAGAUUAAGUUACCUUAGGGAUAACAGCGUAAUCCUUCUCCAGAGUUCAUAUUUACAGAAGGGCUUGCGACCUCGAUGUUGGAUUAAGAUAAUAAUUAGGUGUAGGUGCUUAAUUAAUAGGUCUGUUCGACCUUUAAAUUCUUACAU
Molecule: ribosomal RNA, 521 nt
Filed under: Oxygastra curtisii
Lineage: Eukaryota; Metazoa; Arthropoda; Insecta; Odonata; Corduliidae
Description: partial 16S ribosomal RNA
Rfam family: Bacterial large subunit ribosomal RNA
Source: RNAcentral